AGAGAGUGCUUAUUUUUUGCAGCACCACCUGCCAGCCAGAAUAUUACAAUAGACAUGCCAAUAUUAUAAUAGAAGCAGAAAUGCAACCACAAUAAAACACAAAUUAAUGACAACAAAACUUUAUAAACUAUCCAAACAUCCAAAUUAUCCCAUCAAAACUAUCCAACCAAACUUCAAAAUGUAAUAUUCAAAGUUAACAUCCAACUAAACAACAAUCCAACUAAACAACAAUCUAACCAAGCAUAAAAUCACUCCUCAUCUUCGGAUUCUCCCUCGUCUUCUUCAUUAUUUAUAUUAUUUUCAUCAUUUUUAUCCUCUUCAUAAAUGUGGCUUUUUGGCGGAGAGCGGGGCAGGCCUAUUAAGUGGUUCACUUGAGCCUUGAGGGGCUCGAUGUCAUUCCUAAGUGCGUCUCUAAUCUUCUCUUCAUGCUUUCUUUUUUCUCGUUCAUCCGCAUAGUUCCUAGAAAGUUGUUGAAUCAUUUGCCGCAUCUCCUCAAGGUCCUCAUUUUGCACGAUGGUGGAUGUUCCAAUACCUUGUAAUCCACAAAAGAGAAGUUAAAAAAAUACACGAAGAGUUAGAAUGGAAUAAUUCAGCACCUAACUUCAUAAACUUCAACCUGGGAACAUCGACUACCAUACAUACCAUGAAGUAGAAACUUCGGCUAAGUUUUGAGCAACAUAUUACUUUCACUAGAUAUAGGGAUACUCUUAAUAUGUGAGGCCUUUUGAGAAAAAUUGUGCAGACUUUGCCCAAAUUAAAACGGACAAUAUCACGGAUCUUUGAAGUUAGUCCUCAAAGUUAAAUGUACUUUAUACCGCUUCUCUUAUAUUGCCAUAGUUUUUCUCUAAUAUUUGGUAAAUGGAAAUAGUAGUGAAAGGAAAUUAAAGGAGAUCGAGAGUAAUAAUAAACUAGAAUGCAAAUAAGCUACUACAAUAUAUUUGCUAUUUAAUUUAGGUGAAUGAAAAAGAAAAAAGAGUAUACUAUCAAGUAAUUACCAUAAAAUUAUAGAGUAACUAAAAAUCUGUAUGUGAUUGUAAUUAAACUAAACUAAAAGAAAUAAAGAAUCAUAUUUUAACCAAAACAUCAUACCAUAUCAUUCCAAUUUCAGCAUGUUGUAUAACAAUCUUGAACGCACAUUAAAUAAGAGAUGAGAGGAAAUACCUAAAGUGCAGAAUCUCAAGGAGAACGCCAUUUAAGGCGAGAUAAAAAAAAGUAAGAAACUCGGCAGCGCAGAUCCAACAGAAAUUAGCACACAAGAAUCACAAAUUUGAGCUUUGACAGCUUGUAGAAAUUCGGGAAGAAAAGGAAUCAAACUUUUCUCUUCAAAUCCCAAUGUCCAGUUCUUCUUUCUGUUUUUUUUUUUAGAAUUCCAUAUCUCUCUUCGAGUCCAAAGAGAGGUGAGAGGAGAAAAGGUGUGAGCAGUGGCGACUGGAUUUGGCCGAGCUCAGGCGAGCCAUGGACGUCGGCAGUAGCGUCUGAGAGCUUUCUUGUUUUGGAAGGAUGGGGUUGUUGCUCGUGUCUCUCUUGUGCUAGGUUUUCGGCUGGAAUUGACCAAGGGGAAUGGGGGUCGGCGGCUAGGAGAAUGAAGAUGGAGAAGGGGAAGGCUAGGGUUUUUGGGUGGGGGAAGGGAUCUGAUCUUUUCUCUCUUGCGAAGAAAGGGGAAUUAUAGGGAUAGAGGGAUUUGGGCAAGGCGGGUUUGAG
RNAcentral lists this long non-coding RNA (1701 nucleotides) under Nicotiana tabacum (common tobacco). RNAcentral describes it as "long non-coding RNA (NTAB_LNC001713)". Lineage: Eukaryota; Viridiplantae; Streptophyta; Magnoliopsida; Solanales; Solanaceae. The record is from RNAcentral.